This 9207-nucleotide long non-coding RNA is filed under the name Theobroma cacao (cacao). Its description in RNAcentral is "long non-coding RNA (TCAC_LNC002668)". The record is from RNAcentral. Lineage: Eukaryota; Viridiplantae; Streptophyta; Magnoliopsida; Malvales; Malvaceae.
CAAAAUUUAAUAGAAUAACUUUUUGUUGUAUCACAGAUAUUAAAAUUACAUAAGCAAAUGAUUAAGGCUUAACAUAAAAACAAAUCUUAGGCUAAAGCAUAUUGGUCCCUUGAGCUAAAAAUUCCUGCUCCGACCCUCUAUAUAUAGAAGUGAAGAACUCGCAAUGAGUAAAACAUAGAACAAACCACGCUACAUCGUUUUACAGUGAAGUAACUAAAACAAAUCACAUUUUAUAAUCCAUUUCACCGACUACUUAAUACUGCAAGGACAUGGAGAGCCCCUUCGUACAUAAAUCGGAGUCGGACAAGUUCUACAUCCCGCUGGAGCAGCUAGUGUUCCUCCACUUGGUGGUGUGGGCACGUUGCAUACAUAAUAUUUACCUUCCCUGUGGCAUGAUCUGGGAUAUUGCUUGCCUGUGCCAGGACUCACAGGAAACCUAUUGUAAAGACCAUUACGUUCCACUGCAGCAUGUUUUAAGAUGGGUCAAAUGAAAUUCAUGAAUGGAUGAAAUUGAUCUUCCAUUUAUGUGAUUAAAAAUCUUUAUGUACAUAAAAAAAAAUACUUAUGUUAUAAGCAACUUUAAAAGGAAUCUCCCUUUGGUGAAAGAGACAUUAAUUAAAUUAGCAAGUUGUUGUUAACACUAGUGUGUAUCUAAGAAGAGAGAAUAAUACAAUCGAAAUCGUCUUACCUAUAUGAAGUUCUCGAGCUGAAAAAGCGAAGGGAAGGACCAAAGCAGAGGACAAGAGGAAACAGAUAAAGAGGGAGGCCUUCAUUUUGGGGAAGUAAUGAUGUACUUUCUCAUUUCCCCACUUCUAUUUAUAGACCUUUAGUGCAAGCUUGGGUCCCUUCGGUGCAAUAUUUUAUUUGAAAAUUAUGACUUUACUAGGAGGUUUCGUUUGGGUAUCUUUCAAAAAAAAAAAAAAGGAGGUUUCGUUGUGGUGUCAAAGGGAGCAAGGGACCCGCUUCAUAAUCACCAUUACACUCACUCAACAGCACAAGUUAAGGUUAUUUAUUGUACUAUUUUAAAAACCAUUUUUUAUAUAUAACACAUUAUUUUCAUCAAAUUUAAAAUGAGGUGACACAUUACUUAUAGUUUUUACUAUAAAUAUAAUUUUAACGGUAGAAAAUAUUGAAGAUUUAAGUAAAGAAUUAAAUUUUUUGAUGAUAAAAUAAAGAAUUACAUAAAGAGCGAUUUAUAAUAGUCAAUUAAACCUAAACUUAGUGUGUAAGUAAAAUAAAUAGCAAAUAAAGAAGUAUUUUAAUCCUUAAUUUUUUUGGAAUGCAAGUAAAGUAAAAAGAAAAUAAAAAAAUAUUCUGCUCGAGAUAUUUCUAGAAUUAAUAAUUACCGCUCAAGCUGACACUCUCCUCAAGUUGGAGCAUAGAUAUUACCCCAGAUCCUUUAAUUCAAAUUUAAUAGUUAAAUAUUCCUAUAAUAUUUUCAUUUCGCAUGGUUCAUCUUCCAUCAAGACCAUAUCAUCAACAUACAUGAUUAAAGCUAUUACCUUCCCUUAUUUGUGUUUUAUAAACAAAGUAUAGCCUGAGUUACUUUGCUUAUAACCAAAUAUUUUCAUUAUAGAAGAAAACCUCCCAAGCCAAGCUCUAGGUGAUUGUUUCAGCCCAUAUAAUGACUUUUUCAAUUACAAACUUUCUUUCUACGCAAAGAACUGUAUUUAAUUCCUGGUGGUAAUUCCAUGUAGACCUCUUCCUUUAAGACUCCGUUUAGGAAAGCAUUUUUAACAUCAAAUUAUUGUAGAGGCCAAUCUUGAUUUGCUGCUAUAGAUAUGAGAAUGCAAAUUGUAUUGAUCUUAGCUACUGAUGCAAAAGUCUCUUGAUAAUCCACCCCAUAUGUCUGCGUAUACCCCUAUGCAACUAACCUUGCUUUAUAUUUGUCAAUACUGCCGCCUGCAUUGAGUUUCACCGUGAAUGUAUACCCAUUUGCAUCCAAUCAUUUUCUUUCCUUUGGAUAAGGGAACUAGUUUCCAAGUGGCAUUCUUUUGCAAAUCCUCCAUUUCUUCAUUCAUCACCUUGGUCCGAAUCUUUCAAUGCAUCUUGCAAACUACUAAGAAUAGAUACAGUGGAUAAUUGAUUAAUAGUGAGUGCAUACGAUUUAGACAAUUUAUGGGAGGACACAUAGUUGCUAAUUGGGUAUUUUACCUUAACUUUAGAAUCAGAUUCAUAUUGUUUCUUUAAGACUCCCUUAUUCGAUCUUGUAGAUAUUUAUGAAUUAUACUUUCACUAGGAUGUGUUUCAUGGGACUUAUCAGAUGUAAAAUUUGAGAUUUCAUGGGACUCAUUAGAUAUUGGAUUUGGGAUUUCAUGAGGUUGAACAUUCUGGGUUGAUUUUUUAGUUAAUAUCGUAGGCAUAGGCAAUUCUAAAGACUCUAUGACAAAAACACCUGAAUCACUUGCAAGAAGAACUAACAGGUCACUCUCAAUGUCAGGAAUACUAUCGCAACAUUGUUGAACAUUUUCCCAAAAUGUUCAUUCACUUCCUCUAAUUCUAUAAACUCCUCUCCUCCACUAUCUUGUUUUAACGCAUUCUCUUCACUAGAGUUCCCCCUGGAGAGAAGGCAUAGAGACUCAUCUUGAAUAAUAAGGUUCUAAUUACAACUUAUACUGACAUUGAUUGAUAUCUAUACAUCAAAAUUAACAUUUUUUUUAAUCCAAUAAUCUAAUCAAUGAAAUUCGAAAAGGAUAUAACUCAGUAUUUAUCUAAUUUUAUUCUAUUAACAUAUCAAAAUUCAUUGUCUAAAAAGCAAAUGGGAACAAAUGGUAGUGAUAUUUUUCGAUAUGAAAUAAUUACUUCUCAUCGCGUAUUGAAAGAUUUUAUCUAUAAAAAAAGAAAAUCUAACUAGCAAACCGGUUCAAACUAGAAAGAUAGAAAACAAUAUCUUACAAUCCAAACUACAGAACACAUGCAUCAUUUAUAUGUUAUCCUAAAUUUGUUAGUAUUAGGAGAAUUAUUGCUUGGGACAACCGCGUGUGUAAACUCCAACACAACAGGGGCAUGUCGAUUGCAAAUUAAGCCAUCCUUUCCCAGGUGGUAGUAAAGGAAUAUUGCAUAUAUAUAUAUUCAUUCUUUUUUACCUUAUUGGAGUUUUCUUUGGAGAUUUUGUUCCUGCUGUAGCAUUAUAUGAAAUAUGAAAAAAUUGAAAAAAAAUUAUAUAACUUAUAAUAUGUAAAAACACUCGUAUCUCGUAUCAAAUUUAAUGUAUACAUUGUCUAAAUUUAUGCAAGGAGAUAAAAUGAUUAAUAAACUGAUUUCGUGCUUAGUUAACUCUUCAAUUUCCUAUUUAACUAUAUUUACAGAAGAUUUGUUUUAGUGGAAUAUUUUUAGACGUCCCAAAUUAAAAUCAAUGGCAGGGAUCUAAUUUCCAUAGAUAACUCCAAAACUUUGGAGGCAUGGACCCAUGGAAUGAGAAAGGACUGGUGAGUGGGCUAGAGUCGUUUCCCAACCAACCGACCCAAGGCAAAAAUGAGAAAAUGAAAAGCAUCAAAGGCAGGAGCCGACGGGUUGUUGCCUUUCCUCUUUUCUAAAGUCUAAAUAUAAUUUGCUUAAAUAAAUUUUGGCACAAUGAAAGAAAAAAAUAAUAAAUUGAUGUUUUUAAACGUUAAAAAAUUUUAAAUAUAAUAUUUAAAAUAUUUUUAAAUUAUAAAAAUUUUAAAUAAAAUUUUUUAUUUUAAUUCGAAUAAAUUUUAAUAAUUAAUAGUUGACUAACUGUUAUUAAAAUGAGAUCACACAUUACUUAUAAUUUUUGCUAUAAAUAUAAUUUUAACCGAUAUCUAUAUACCUCAACUAACAUUUUCUUUUUAUUAUUCGAGAAUCUGAUUAACAAACUUUAAAAAGAUAUAACUUGAUCCUUUUCUAUUAACAUAUCAAAAUUCAUUUUCCUAUUUUAUUCUAUUAAUAUUACGAAUUAUCAAAUCAAGGUAUAUUAAUGAAUGCAGAUUCAGAUUUAAAAAAUUAAUGCUUAUUGUGACAGCAAUUAGACUGGAUGCCUUGAUUCUCGAAAGUCAGUAACAAGGUUUAGCAUUUUUCCUAGUAAUUUUCUUGGUUAGUUGGAAAUCUAAGAAGCAAUCAGUAGUAGCUCAAAGCUCUUCUAAAGCUGAAUAUUGGUUAAUAGCAUCAGCCUGUUGUGAAGUGAUUUAGUUGAAGAAUCUUUUGACUGAUUUUGGUUUCAAUCAAGACACAACAGUGAGACUUUAUUGUGACAAUCAAUCAACCAUUCACAUUUGAAAAAAUCCAAUCUUUCAUGAGCAAACAAAACAUAUUGAAAUGGACUACCACUUUAUAAGAGAAAAACUGCUUACAAAGGUCAUUGACCCUACUUAUAUUUCUUCAGAAGAACAAGUAGGAGAUUUGUUCACCAAGGCCUUAUAGCCAAAGCAGUUCCACAAAUUACUUAGCAAGAUGCAUGUUCAAAACAUACAUGUGCAACUUGAGGGGGAGUAUCAGCUAGGGAAGAUGAGUACAGAUUAAAAGAAGCUUGGUUGAUUGAGAUCAAAGCAUAACGCUGUUGAAGGUAUGCUUUGCAAAAGUAAAACAGGGUAAAAGAAGAACUCAUGCGACUCUCAUAUGACUUGUGGAUUUUAAAUACACGUGCAUAUUUAUUUUAAUUAACUACUUUUAUUGCUUUUACUGUUAUAAGACUGUUAAUAUUAAUUAAUUGAAAAUUAACUUAAUUAAAAACUUUUCAUUAUUGUUAUUAGUGAGUUAGAAAUAGGGUAUAAAAACCCUCAACUGUUUUCAUUUUUUUUAACGAAAAUUCAUCAUAAGUUUCCAGCAUUAGUCAAGUACUUUUCUGUUCACUCUCGACUUCACAUAUUGAUGAUUGACUAGGAGAGACCUUCUACGCGUAUCACUGGACCAGAAUAAUUAGUAUAAUUUAAAAAUAAAAUAAAAUAAAGGAAAGGAAAAGAAAGAUUCCAUGUGGAUAGAAAACUUUUAGUAGUUCACACAUAUAUUGACGCUGACAGUGUCUCUUUUUGGUGCUUGACAGUAAUCAAACUUCCGCUUUUUAAGAAAAACAUGGUCAUAUAUGUUACAGGGAAAAGACUCGGUAUCUACCCAUUUCUCCUUUUGGCCUUUGACUUAGACUCGGGGUAUAAUAAUUAACAGAACAUUGAACCAACAAGAAUAAGACAGAGAAGUAAACGGGAAACACAUGGUAAUUUAUUAGGAUAAUUUUUUUUUUCGAAUCUUCACUUUAAAAUGAAUAAAACAUAGUAAUCUGAGAUGUAAUUUAGAUAAUAAAAAAAUCUUUAAAAAAAUAAUUUUGUAAAAAAAUUUGAGUAUACACUGAGAUUAAAGUUAGAUAAUUGUCAUAUAUUCAUUUAUCCAUUAAUUGAUAUCUGAUUAUCGAUAUUCAUAGAUACAUCAAUUUUUAAUUUUGAUUAUAACAUUUGAAAAUUUUAAUGACAAUCUACAGGAUUAUUUUCAAAUAUUAAAAGAAAGAAAUGUAAAUCUGUUUGUCAUUUAAGUUUUCUCAGAUAAAACAAUUGAAAAUUUUGAAACUAAUAUCAAACUAAAAAUUCAAUAACAAUUUUAAGUAAUAGUAUACUACAUGAUUUUGAAAUUAAAUUCAAUAAAAAUUUACUGAAUGUUUAAUUUUUAAUAGCUAUAUCACAUGAUUUCGAAAGUAUAAAUUCAAUGCUAAUAUUUUAAAACUAAAAAUUUAACAUUUACUUUUAUCGCCUUCAGUUGAGGUUAAUUAUGGAUAGGGGGAAAUGUUUUACGCACCGUGGUGAGCUGUGCUUGGAAAUGCUUCUUCUGUGAGUACGGCACUUUCAUGGUGUUCUGCUUUAAUGACCAGUGCAGGCCUUUUUUCAUGGUCAGAGGACCCCUGAUCUGGUCUUAUGGCUCUACAUCCGCAGUUGCUGAGUUUUGCUUCUUUUUUUUUUUUUCUGGAUGCUUCUUCCUUCAUGGGUUCUUAUCUACAUGUGUUGUAAAUUUUUAUUAAAUUGACCACUGUUACUCUAUUCAAUAUGAAGUUNUCUUGAGUUUUCUUUUUUUUUUUUUUCUGGAUGCUUCUUCCUUCAUGAGUUCUUAUCUGCAUGUGUUGUAAAUUUUUAUUAAAUUGACUACUGUUACUCUAUUCAAUGAAGUUAGUCAAAGUAAAAAGGAUUUAAUUGAUUUAAAAUCAAAAUGUAAAACUUUAAUUAAAUUAAAAAUAUAAAUACUAUAUCCAAACAUUUAACUUAUUAGUUGAUGUAUCAUCUCUUACUUACAAAACAUAAUUCUAAUAUCUUUUUCUCUAAUUAAAAAAAUAUAAAUACUUAAUUAACUUUUCUUAUAUAGUUUAGGAUAUCAUUAUGUCAGCAAUAAAGAAAUUCUGAAAAAAUCAAAAUAUAUUUUCAAAAUUUAUUUAAAUAUUAUGUCGAAAUUGAUAUACCUCAUUAUUGGGCGCAUUGAGGACGAUUUUGUAACUUUUCUCAAAUUUUGUAGUGACUGAAAGAUAAUAAGAGGUAUGAAAAAGAAAGGGUUCCUUUCAAAAAUAUCCUUCAUAUAUAAGAUAUUGUUAGGAUAGUCUUGAAUUGUGAUUUAAUUAGUAUUAUUUAAUUCUAAUUAAAUUAGUAUACCUUAUUAAAAUAGUCUUUAAAUCUAGUUAGACUAGAAUAACAAUUCCUAAUUAUAUUAGGAUAAGAUUCUUAAUUAUAUUAGGAUAAGGUUAUUGUAUUUGACACUAUAAAAGGACCCUAUGGAUUAAAGAAUAAUCAUCACCUAAAUUUAGAGAGAGUGAUUUAGGUGUACGUGGCAUAAGAGUUAUGAGUUUGAGACUGUUCUUGUAAUCUCCUGAUUUUUCUCUUAGUGAAUUUUUCUCUGUUGCUGUGCCCGUGGAUGUAGGUCAUCAAAAGACCGAACCAUGUAAAUUCUUGUGUUCUUGUGGGUGUGCUUGAUUUCUUUUUUUCUUUAUUCUAUUGAUUGGGUUAGAUCUUGGGCAAUUCUUUAGAAACAAUUCCACAAUUCCACAAUUUCUCAACAGAUAUUUUUGAAAAUAAUCUUCUUUAUAAUUUGAACUAUUUUUAGUCAAAAAAAAUUAAUUUUGAACAAAAUUACCUUUAAUAAAAUCGACCCAUAUAUUUUGGUCCGCGUUUCAAAUCGACUGAUAUCCUUUGACUUUUUCUCUCCAAACCAUUUAUCUUUGGAGUAUUCCUUGCCAAAAAUUUUUUUAAGCAUUUUGAGCAUUUUAUAGUGGUUUUUGAUGCACAAAGAAAAUUCUUUACGUGUUUUGAGUAUUUUUAAGUAUUUUGGAGUGAUUUUUGAUACAUGAAGAAAAACCUUUGAGCAUUUUGAGCAUUAUUCGUCAAAUAAGUAUAUUCGUUAAUUAUAUUGUUAAAUAGAAUAUGGUGUAUUAUUUGAAGUUGUUGAUUUUGUUAAAUGAAAUUUAGUAGUUUUUUUUAUUUUUAGGCAUUACGUAAUCAAUUUUUGGGCAUUAGGUGACUAGUUUUUAGCCAUUACGUGAUUGAUUUUUAGGUAUUGCGUAACUGGUUGAUAUGACAUACGUGACUGAUUGAUAGGCAUUACAUGACAAGUUAGUAAGGUAUUGUAUGACUAGUUUUUAAGUAUUGUGUGACUUAGGUAUUGUCUAAAAAUCAAUCACACAAUACCUAAAAACCAAUCACUUAAUGCCUAAAAAUUAGUCUCGCAAUACUUAAAAACCAGUGAUAUAAUACUUAAAAACUAGCAAUGCAAUACCUAAUAACUAAUUGAUUUGCCUGCUCGCAGUCAGGUUUAAGUUUUCAAAAUCAUAUAGUGUUCUAAUUUAUAGAUAUGUUUAAUCAAUUUCAACUCCUUAACUUUGGAGUUUUAUAAUAAACCAAUAAAACCAAAAACCUAAAACACAAACCUUGAUAUCAUCUCUACUCUUUAGGAUGGUGAGAAAGAGCUCGAUGGCGAGAUAGAUAGUAUUUGACGAGAGAGAGAAAUCAAGAUUUAAUUUUAAAAUUUUUGUCCGGAUGGCGGGAUAAAGAAAACCGAAACUAUUUUAAUUUACCUGAAAUUAUUUAACAAGUAUUGUUAUCAAGUCAUGUUAAAAAUUAAUUGAAAAUAAUUAAAAUUAUAAUUAAAGAUAUUUGUGAAUUGAACCUAUGAGUAGAGUUAUUUUUUCAUAAUUUUCUCAAAAAGAAAAUCGAAAAAGGAUUGCAAAGUAACUGCUGGAGCACAUUUUUUCUCCUUGUACUUAUCCUUAUAUCACCCUUUUUGUUGACCAGUGAUCUUUUGUUGGCUGCAUGUUGUUGUUGUUGUGUGCUCCGGGUUUUGGUCACGGGUUGAUCGCUUGAGUCAUUUCUUUAUUCUCUGGUGCUUUUAGUUGAUUCGUGUCCAUAUGGGACUGCUCCUUUUGAUGGCUCGGUUGCUCAGAUUCUCUGCUCCCAUGAUGGAACAGACUCCUCUGAUUUUGUGCCUUGUCUGUGUUAUGAGUUGAUGAUUCUGGGUUGAUAUCUUAUGCUCUUGUCUGUGGAUGAGUGUUCUGUUUUUCUUCACAACCUUUUCCCUGACAGGAGGUGUACAGGGUUUUUUGUUUCAUACAGAUCUCAUGGUGGGUGUUGGGCUGUGAAUUCCAUGUGUUGCUCAUCGCUGAGCUCCUGAUAGGGUGGGGGCUUUUGAUAUUUUUGGGCCCUGUUUUUUUAUCCCUUCAGGUUGUUGAGAGUAGUAAUAUGCAGCCGCAAGUCUGUCUUUUUCUCCUCUUCCAUACUUGCCGCAGCAUCUUUUUUAUCAGGUGGAAUGAAUAUACUUAGCUGCUUUUAAAAAAAAAAAUCUCUCUUACUUAUUUUUAUUAUGGUUUUUGCGCAUAUAUAUGUUAUUAUCUUCAGUCUUUUUUUUUCACUUUCAUAAAUUUCAUUUUUUUCUUAUGUUUUACGUAUACAUAAACCUUAUAACAACAUGUAUAAAAUAAAUAUAUUAAAUUUAACGCAAAAUUUAAUAGAAUAACUUUUUGUUGUAUCACAGAUAUUAAAAUUACAAAAGCAAAUGAUUAAGGCUUAACAUAAAAACAAAUCUUAGGCUAAAGCAUAGUGGUCCCCUUGAGCUAAAAUCCCUGCUCCGACCCUCUAUAUAUAGAAGUGAAGAACUCGCAUGGAGUAAAACAUAGAACAAACCACGCUACAUCGUUUUACAGUGAAGUAACUAAAACAAAUCACAUUUUAUAAUCCAUUUCACCGACUACUUAAUAGUGCAAGGACAUGGAGAGUUCCUUGGUACAUAAAUCGG